GUCCACGCCCUAAACGAUGAUCACUAGGUGUUGGGGAGCGAUUCCUUGGUACCGUAGCUAACGCGUGAAGUGAUCCGCCUGGGGAGUACGGUCGCAAGAUUAAACUCAAAGGAAUUGACGGGACCCGCACAAGCGGUGGAUGAUGUGGAUUAAUUCGAUGCAACGCGAACAACCUUACCUACCCUUGACAUGUCCGGAACCCUGCUGAGAGGUGGGGUGCCCGAAAGGGAAUCGGAACACAGGUGCUGCAUGGCUGUCGU
This 260-nucleotide ribosomal RNA is filed under the name uncultured bacterium. RNAcentral describes it as "partial 16S ribosomal RNA". It matches the Rfam family "Bacterial small subunit ribosomal RNA", at positions 793 to 1055 of the family's 1533-position model. The record is from RNAcentral.